Nematostella vectensis (starlet sea anemone) is the source of this 610-nucleotide long non-coding RNA. RefSeq lists it as uncharacterized. NCBI's taxonomy places the organism in Eukaryota, Metazoa, Cnidaria, Anthozoa, Actiniaria, Edwardsiidae. The record is from RefSeq and is a predicted model, not a curated record. The transcript has 2 exons.
UAAACACAUCGGUAUGGCAUAAAUGACUUGUCAUAGAGUCGCUCGCAUUGUAAUGUGAGUUAUGUUCUUAAGGCGUACCGUAAACACAUCGGUAUGGCAUAAAUGACUUGUCAUAGAGUCGCUCGCAUUGUAAUGUGAGUUAUGUUCUUAAGGCGUACCGUAAACACAUCGGUAUGGCAUAAAUGACUUGUCAUAGAGUCGCUCGCAUUGUAAUGUGAGUUAUGUUCUUAAGGCGUACCGUAAACACAUCGGUAUGCAUAAAUGACUUGUCAUGGAGUCGCUCGCAUUGUAAUGUGAGUUAUGUUCUUAAGGCGUACCGUAAACACAUCGGUACGGCAUAAAUGACUUGUCAUAGAGUCGCUCGCAUUGUCCUCCUCGUGAAGGGCAGGGAUGCACAACGCAGGGAUCCUGAAAAAAAAAAAAAAAAAAAAAAAAAACAAUAGAAAUUACAGCGAGAAAAGCUAAAGUUACGAAGCCUUUAAGCUUGAGAACGACUCGUGUGUGCAGAAGCAAGCAGAUUUCUCCGAUGGGAAAAUGCUCACAUAACAAAAAUAAAAAAGCAACAGAAGCUCUGAAUUUAUUAGUAUUAAAGAAAAAUAUCAAAUUACGC